GAUGAAGAACGCAGCGAAAUGCGAUAAGUAGUGUGAAUUGCAGAAUUCAGUGAAUCAUCGAAUCUUUGAACGCAUCUUGCGCUCCUUGGUAUUCCGAGGAGCAUGCCUGUUUGAGUGUCAUUAAAUUCUCAACUCUCCUAUACUUUGUUGUAAAGGAGGGCUUGGAUUGUGGAGGCUUGCUGGCCGCUUGAUGUGGUCAGCUCCUCUGAAAUGCAUUAGCAGAACUGUUUGCGAUCUGCCACAAGUGUGAUAAAUUAUCUACACUGGCGAGGGGAUUGCUCUCUGUGUUCAGCUUCUAAUCGUCUUCAGUGACAAUUUCUUGAAUGCUUGACCUCAAAUCAGGUAGGACUACCCGCUGAACUUAAGCAUAUCAAUAAGCGGAGGA
This 385-nucleotide unclassified non-coding RNA is filed under the name soil metagenome. RNAcentral's name for it is "partial contains 5.8S ribosomal RNA, internal transcribed spacer 2, and large subunit ribosomal RNA". The stretch from base 1 to 120 matches the Rfam family "5.8S ribosomal RNA", at positions 35 to 154 of the family's 154-position model. The record is from RNAcentral.